This 473-nucleotide ribosomal RNA is filed under the name uncultured organism. Its description in RNAcentral is "partial 16S ribosomal RNA". It matches the Rfam family "Bacterial small subunit ribosomal RNA", at positions 335 to 799 of the family's 1533-position model. The record is from RNAcentral.
ACUCCUGCGGGAGGCAGCAGUGGGGAAUAUUGCACAAUGGGCGCAAGCCUGAUGCAGCCAUGCCGCGUGUAUGAAGAAGGCCUUCGGGUUGUAAAGUACUUUCAGCGGGGAGGAAGGCAAUACGGUUAAUAACCGUGUUGAUUGACGUUACCCGCAGAAGAAGCACCGGCUAACUCCGUGCCAGCAGCCGCGGUAAUACGGAGGGUGCAAGCGUUAAUCGGAAUUACUGGGCGUAAAGCGCACGCAGGCGGUCUGUCAAGUCGGAUGUGAAAUCCCCGGGCUCAACCUGGGAACUGCAUUCGAAACUGGCAGGCUUGAGUCUUGUAGAGGGGGGUAGAAUUCCAGGUGUGGCGGUGAAAUGCGUAGAGAUCUGGAGGAAUACCGGUGGCGAAGGCGGCCCCCUGGACAAAGACUGACGCUCAGGUGCGAAAGCGUGGGGAGCAAACAGGAUUAGAAACCCGUGUAGUCCCAUG